UUUAGGGUUAGAACCCCAUUUUCAUUCUAAGUUUCUAACCCUUCCCUCCUCUAAGCCCUCACACCCCACCUGCGGCGGCCAAGACCUACGGCGUCAGAUGGCGAUACACAGCGACCGACGGUGAUUCACGGCGACCGGAGACGGUGGUGAGCUUCAUCUACGGCGGCCACCGUUGAUUUUGCAGCAGGUCCAACAGUAACGGUUGCGACAGUAAUAGAUCCGGCAACCGACUUGCAGCGGCGGCCGACAAUUUUGCAGCAGGUCGAGCAGUAACAGUUGCGGCAGUAAUAGAUCCGGCAACCGACUUGUAACGGCGGCCGGCGAUUUUGCAGCAAGUCGAGCAGUAACAGUUGCGGCAGUUGUAUUUCUUCAUCAUGAUUUGUGAAAUCUCUUUCCAUCGUUGAUCUUCUUGCGAGAUCCUGAAUUGCUGAUGAUGUUCGCUUUCUCCUUUACAUCUACCACAAGAUGAUGGAAAAAUUGAAUAACCGAUCCUUGUGGCAUCUUGUAGUUCGUGGUGCACUGUAUCGUAGAUGUUUCUGCAUCUAUGAUAAUGAGUAUGCAGAUUGGCUAUCUCUCCCCCAUAUUCCAGGUCUUUAUGAUUCUGAAUAUGGUAGUUUACUGCUGUGUAACAUUCUAUACUCUAAUAUCAAUAAUUUUUCUUUUUAUGUUAUGUCCUAUAACAGAGAGAUUAGUCUAAAAGCUGGAAGUAUGCAAUAUUAGGGUACGUUUGGUUUA
Long non-coding RNA from Nelumbo nucifera (sacred lotus), 735 nucleotides. RefSeq lists it as uncharacterized. The record is from RefSeq and is a predicted model, not a curated record. Lineage: Eukaryota; Viridiplantae; Streptophyta; Magnoliopsida; Proteales; Nelumbonaceae.